RNAcentral lists this ribosomal RNA (253 nucleotides) under uncultured bacterium. Its description in RNAcentral is "partial 16S ribosomal RNA". It matches the Rfam family "Bacterial small subunit ribosomal RNA", at positions 524 to 776 of the family's 1533-position model. The record is from RNAcentral.
UACGGGGGGGGCAAGCGUUGUUCGGAAUUACUGGGCGUAAAGGGCUCGUAGGCGGCCAACUAAGUCAGACGUGAAAUCCCUCGGCUUAACCGGGGAACUGCAUCUGAUACUGGAUGGCUUGAGUUCGGGAGAGGGAUGCGGAAUUCCAGGUGUAGCGGUGAAAUGCGUAGAUAUCAGGGGGAACACCUGAGGUGUAGACGGCUUUCUGGACCGUAGCUGACGCUGAGACACGAAAGCGUGGGUAGCAAACAGG